GGGUGAAUUAGUGGCGAACGGGUGAGUAACACGUGAGUAACCUGCCCUUAACUCUGGGAUAAGCCUGGGAAACUGGGUCUAAUACCGGAUAGGAGCGUCCACCGCAUGGUGGGUGUUGGAAAGAUUUAUCGGUUUUGGAUGGACUCGCGGCCUAUCAGCUUGUUGGUGAGGUAAUGGCUCACCAAGGCGACGACGGGUAGCCGGCCUGAGAGGGUGACCGGCCACACUGGGACUGAGACACGGCCCAGACUCCUACGGGAGGCAGCAGUGGGGAAUAUUGCACAAUGGGCGAAAGCCUGAUGCAGCGACGCCGCGUGAGGGAUGACGGCCUUCGGGUUGUAAACCUCUUUCAGUAGGGAAGAAGCGAAAGUGACGGUACCUGCAGAAGAAGCACCGGCUAACUACGUGCCAGCAGCCGCGGUAAUACGUAGGGUGCGAGCGUUAUCCGGGAAUUAUUGGGCGUAAAGAGCUCGUAGGCGGUUUGUCGCGUCUGUCGUGAAAGUCCGGGGCUUAACCCCGGAUCUGCGGUGGGUACGGGCAGACUAGAGUGCAGUAGGGGAGACUGGAAUUCCUGGUGUAGCGGUGGAAUGCGCAGAUAUCAGGAGGAACACCGAUGGCGAAGGCAGGUCUCUGGGCUGUAACUGACGCUGAGGAGCGAAAGCAUGGGGAGCGAACAGGAUUAGAUACCCUGGUAGUCCAUGCCGUAAACGUUGGGCACUAGGUGUGGGGACCAUUCCACGGUUUCCGCGCCGCAGCUAACGCAUUAAGUGCCCCGCCUGGGGAGUACGGCCGCAAGGCUAAAACUCAAAGGAAUUGACGGGGGCCCGCACAAGCGGCGGAGCAUGCGGAUUAAUUCGAUGCAACGCGAAGAACCUUACCAAGGCUUGACAUGUUCUCGAUCGCCGUAGAGAUACGGUUUCCCCUUUGGGGCGGGUUCACAGGUGGUGCAUGGUUGUCGUCAGCUCGUGUCGUGAGAUGUUGGGUUAAGUCCCGCAACGAGCGCAACCCUCGUUCCAUGUUGCCAGCACGUAAUGGUGGGGACUCAUGGGAGACUGCCGGGGUCAACUCGGAGGAAGGUGAGGACGACGUCAAAUCAUCAUGCCCCUUAUGUCUUGGGCUUCACGCAUGCUACAAUGGCCGGUACAAUGGGUUGCGAUACUGUGAGGUGGAGCUAAUCCCAAAAAGCCGGUCUCAGUUCGGAUUGGGGUCUGCAACUCGACCCCAUGAAGUCGGAGUCGCUAGUAAUCGCAGAUCAGCAACGCUGCGGUGAAUACGUUCCCGGGCUUUGUACACACCGCCCGUCAAGUCACGAAAGUUGGUAACUACC
This is a ribosomal RNA of 1327 nucleotides. It matches the Rfam family "Bacterial small subunit ribosomal RNA", at positions 85 to 1422 of the family's 1533-position model.